AGCAUUUAGUUUUCUUAGUACGCUCGUAAAACAUGUUACGAAAACUUGUUUACGUUGUUUUUACGAUUCUCGUUUUAAUAACGAUGUCACGGACCAAUCCGAUAAAUUCGGGACCAGAUGACAACAAUCCAAUAAAUAGCCUCUUAUCUAGCAUAUCUGCACUGUUGCCAGCUGGUGAAACCUCAAACAAUUUUAUAAAUAAUUUAUUGAAAAUUAUACGAGAAUUGCGUUUGCCAUGUACAAUAAAUUCCGUCAUUCCAUGGGAAUUAAAUUGUACACAAGUCGAAGUCGAAUAAUAUUACAGAGCACUUGAUACAAUGUGUUUAUGUUUUAUUAAAUAAAAACUCUACAAUACUUAA
This is a long non-coding RNA of Nylanderia fulva, 359 nucleotides long. RefSeq lists it as uncharacterized. The record is from RefSeq and is a predicted model, not a curated record. NCBI's taxonomy places the organism in Eukaryota, Metazoa, Arthropoda, Insecta, Hymenoptera, Formicidae.